UACGUAGGGUCCGAGCGUUGUCCGGAAUUACUGGGCGUAAAGAGCUCGUAGGUGGUUUGUCGCGUUGUUCGUGAAAACUCACAGCUCAACCUGUGGGCGUGCGGGCGAUACGGGCAGACUGGAGUACUGCGAGGGGAGACUGGAAGUUCCUGGUGUAGCGGUGGAAUGACGCAGAGUAUCAGGAGGAACCACCGGUGGCGAAGGCGGGUCUCUGGGCAGUAACUGACGCUGGAGGAGCGAAAGCGUGGGGAGCGAACAGGAUUAGACUAC
RNAcentral lists this ribosomal RNA (270 nucleotides) under uncultured bacterium. RNAcentral's name for it is "partial 16S ribosomal RNA". It matches the Rfam family "Bacterial small subunit ribosomal RNA", at positions 524 to 786 of the family's 1533-position model. The record is from RNAcentral.